This 494-nucleotide ribosomal RNA is filed under the name uncultured bacterium. Its description in RNAcentral is "partial 16S ribosomal RNA". It matches the Rfam family "Bacterial small subunit ribosomal RNA", at positions 28 to 507 of the family's 1533-position model. The record is from RNAcentral.
GACGAACGCUGGCGGCGUGCUUAACACAUGCAAGUCGAACGGUGAAGCGCCUUCCUUUUUGGUGGGUGUGGAUGAGUGGCGAACGGGUGAGUAACACGUGAGUAACCUGCCCCCUUCUUCUGGAUAACCGCAUGAAAGUGUGGCUAAUACGGGAUAUUCUGGGUCUGUCGCAUGAUGGGUCUGGGAAAGAUAUUGUUUCGGUGGGGGAUGGGCUCGCGGCCUAUCAGCUUGUUGGUGGGGUGAUGGCCUACCAAGGCGGUGACGGGUAGCCGGCCUGAGAGGGUGGACGGUCACACUGGGAAUGCGACACGGCCCAGACUCCUACGGGAGGCAGCAGUGGGGAAUAUUGCACAAUGGGCGCAAGCCUGAUGCAGCGACGCCGCGUGAGGGAUGGAGGCCUUCGGGUUGUGAACCUCUUUCGCCAGUGAAGCAGGCCUGCCUCGUUUGUGGGUGGGUUGACGGUAGCUGGAUAAGAAGCGCCGGCUAACUACGUG